RNAcentral lists this unclassified non-coding RNA (260 nucleotides) under Hevea brasiliensis (rubber tree). Lineage: Eukaryota; Viridiplantae; Streptophyta; Magnoliopsida; Malpighiales; Euphorbiaceae. The record is from RNAcentral.
CAACAAGUUCCACGUUGCUACCUAUUUAUUUGGACAAAACUGUGGAAUUAACUUACCAAACCUGAAACUAGACACUGCAAUUGCCACAAUUCUGAGCCAAUUUGUGAUAUAUUUUCAGAAGCAGCAUUAACAUCAUUUUGAAUUGCCUUUGAGAUCUCUUUUUGGCUCUCCAUUUUAUCAUCCAAAAGCUGUAUUCGCUGAGUCAGAUGUACUUUUGCAGCAGAUAGAGCCUCGGUUACUUGCUCCAGAUGCUUCGUCAA